RNAcentral lists this long non-coding RNA (1760 nucleotides) under Cavia porcellus (domestic guinea pig). RNAcentral's name for it is "lncRNA (ENSCPOG00000035681.1)". The record is from RNAcentral. Lineage: Eukaryota; Metazoa; Chordata; Mammalia; Rodentia; Caviidae.
CUCUAUUCUUCCUCCUUUCGGGGCCUCACCUCUGGACUCUGGUAAAGACUUGGGCGCCCUCCUCGGAAGCAGCCUCUGGGUGUCACCCCGCAAGGAAGCCUGGCCACUACCAAGCAGGUAGCCUGCCCUUGAGAGCUCUGAUAAUCAAAUCUGUCAUCAUGUUGCUAGGCUUGAGGAUCCUACAUCGGGCAGCCCGGCUGCCCCUUGGAAGUGGUCAGGUUUUGUCUCAGAUGCACACGGGCAGCAGUGCCCGCCAGCUCCCCAGGUUGGAUGGGUUUCUUGUUUUAGUUUGUUUCAUUUUUCAGACAGGGUCUCACUGUGUGGCCUUGAUCUCAAGAUCUUCCUGCUUCAGCCUCCUGAGUACUGGGACCAUAGGCGUGCACCACCCUGUUUGCUGGCUUUUGAAGUGUGAGGAGCAUGUUCCGGUCAAGCAUGGAGACGACCCCUGCGUGGCCUGGGGAAUGGUUCCCGAGAGUCCUCCUUCCCAGGGGUGGCCGUGAACACCUGAGAAUGUGAGGACCCGAAGCGUCCGCCAGUCCCUUAGUCCUGUUUCCAGAAGCCUCCUUUUGCACUUGUUCACCACAGCCUGAAGGAGCAAUUCGUGAUUCUCCAGUGGCAACGGGGGGCACCGAGGUUCUGCCCAGGCCCCGGCCCCGUCCUCCUCCCUUCACUCUGGGCUGGGGCAUCACUGCCUCCAGGAAGCCCCCAAGGCUUCUUCCCGGAUCCUCAGUUCUCCUCUGUGCUUUCCCAGCAGCCUGGGCUCCUCCAUCUCUGUCGGUCCCUGUGAUCCCUCUCUGUCCCCACCUGCACAGGUGACACCGUGGAUGGACAGGACGCCAUUGGCCCAUCAGUGCGUGGCACAGGGGACCUGCACCGCUUUACUUGUUGAGAGGACACAGGGUGGAUAGAAAGGCUUUGGGGACCACCCUGAUGUCUACUGCCUGCUCCCUGGAGAGGCAUGAGAGUCUGGGACGUAGAGCCAGGGCCCUGAGCCCCCUCACAUGGCUCCCAGGCGCCACUGCUCUCCCUCCAACUGUACCAUCCUUGGGGUCUCAGAGGGGCUCUCCACUGCUUCCAGCCCAGCCGCGGUGACCCUGGUCCAGGAACACUUCCUGGGGAUCAAAUAACCAGCUCCUCUGAGCCCCCAUCAAUCUGCGGCCGCUAAACGUCCUCUCACUGCAGGACCAACUACCUGAACCCUAACCCCAGUCCCCAGCCUGGGGACCGGCUGAGUAAUGUACUGUCAUCUCUGCUCCCAGGGCUGUAAUUCAGAGCGACCCGGUUGCUGUCUGAGACAAAACAAGGCGAUGUUUUGGUUCACGGAGGGUCCAAGAGGCACUGUGUGUGGAGGGGAAUAGUAAGCCCAUACCGAUGGGGCCUGUCAUGGGCUUCCCAGCAGCCUCGGAGGACUCAGAUCGCCCCUGACAUCUCUAGGCCAUCAACAAGGAUGGAGCUUGGAAAAGCUGGCCACUGUAUCGCAGGUCCACUAUCAGUCACUGUGUGCCUACAGAUCAUAGGGAUGACAGAGGGAAGGUGAUGGUCACUGUCCCUGAUUCAGUUAGCUGAGACUUAUUGUUAACGAGCGCAUGAAUAAUAAAAAUCAGUGCCUGAUUACCAGCUGCCUGGGCUGCUUAGUGAGCAGUUUCUCCAGUGUUUCCUGUGCGUCAGGUCCUGGGUUCAGUACUUUAUAUGCCAUGAUUACGGCUGACACCAGAUUCACUUUUUUGCUUAUGUAUCAAGUGUCAUCCGAGGACGGUCUC